GCACUGUUGAAGAGUCCUACAAUAGAACGAAACAACUGUCUAGUAU
Molecule: non-coding RNA, 46 nt
Filed under: Schistosoma mattheei
Lineage: Eukaryota; Metazoa; Platyhelminthes; Trematoda; Strigeidida; Schistosomatidae
Source: RNAcentral